GCUGGAGAAAGGCUGAGAAAGAAAAGCAACAGCUUGGCAGUAAAAGGAUUAACUUCAAGCUGUGCCACAAGCCUCUGUUUAUGCUCAAAACCCUGGAGUGAACCUGUUGACUCCACCACUCACAAGAUGCUGAGCCAGUUAUAAAAGAAAGGAACAUAUAUGGACAGAGUCAGUGGCAACUGGAGAACACGAGGAGAGCAGGAUACUGGGAGAACUCCAUGAUCUUUGUCAAGUAUUUCCACCUGAUCCACCUGAACCAGCAGAAGAAGGAGGCUUUUCUGAAGUGACGCUUAAUUAGCAAUGAAGAUGAAAAUAUACAGGAGAAAGUAAUGAAAUUUAAAUAUCUAAAUUUGAGGCUGAUUUUACAUAACAGAUGGGAUCUUGUUGGAAAAAUUAUGGCAUGUUAAUUCUUAUACCAUAGUUUACAUAUAAAUCCAGG
Pristis pectinata (smalltooth sawfish) is the source of this 439-nucleotide long non-coding RNA. RefSeq lists it as uncharacterized. The transcript is spliced from 3 exons. NCBI's taxonomy places the organism in Eukaryota, Metazoa, Chordata, Chondrichthyes, Rhinopristiformes, Pristidae. The record is from RefSeq and is a predicted model, not a curated record.